UAGGGAAUCUUCGGCAAUGGGCGCAACCCUGACCGAGCAACGCCGCGUGAGUGAAGAAGGUUUUCGGAUCGUAAAGCUCUGUUGUAAGUCAAGAACGGGUGUGAGAGUGGAAAGUUCACACUGUGACGGUAGCUUACCAGAAAGGGACGGCUAACUACGUGCCAGCAGCCGCGGUAAUACGUAGGUCCCGAGCGUUGUCCGGAUUUAUUGGGCGUAAAGCGAGCGCAGGCGGUUUGAUAAGUCUGAAGUUAAAGGCUGUGGCUCAACCAUAGUUCGCUUUGGAAACUGUCAAACUUGAGUGCAGAAGGGGAGAGUGGAAUUCCAUGUGUAGCGGUGAAAUGCGUAGAUAUAUGGAGGAACACCGGUGGCGAAAGCGGCUCUCUGGUCUGUAACUGACGCUGAGGCUCGAAAGCGUGGGGAGCGAACAGG
RNAcentral lists this ribosomal RNA (429 nucleotides) under bacterium. RNAcentral's name for it is "partial 16S ribosomal RNA". It matches the Rfam family "Bacterial small subunit ribosomal RNA", at positions 355 to 776 of the family's 1533-position model. The record is from RNAcentral.